GAUGAACGCUGGCGGCGUGCCUAAUACAUGCAAGUCGAGCGAACAGACGAGGAGCUUGCUCCUCUGACGUUAGCGGCGGACGGGUGAGUAACACGUGGAUAACCUACCUAUAAGACUGGGAUAACUUCGGGAAACCGGAGCUAAUACCGGAUAAUAUAUUGAACCGCAAGGUUCAAUAGUGAAAGACGGUUUUGCUGUCACUUAUAGAUGGAUCCGCGCCGCAUUAGCUAGUUGGUAAGGUAACGGCUUACCAAGGCAACGAUGCGUAGCCGACCUGAGAGGGUGAUUGGGCACACCGGAACCGAGACACCGUCCCGACUCCUACGGGAGGCAGCAGUUGGGAAUCUUCCGCAAUGGGCGGAAACCUUGCGGAGCAAAGGCGGGGUAGGUAAUAAGGGCCUCGGAUUGUAAAACCUUGGUUUUUGGGAAAGACAAAAUGUGUAGGUACUAUGCACGUCUUGACGGUACCUAAUCAGAAAGCCACGGCUAACUACGUG
Molecule: ribosomal RNA, 497 nt
Filed under: uncultured bacterium
Lineage: Bacteria
Description: partial 16S ribosomal RNA
Rfam family: Bacterial small subunit ribosomal RNA
Source: RNAcentral